CUAAUUUCUUCUCUUGCUGACACCAUUUGUCAGAUUAGAUUAUCAAAUGUGACUAACCUGUAUGAAAGUAACAUGGAGAAAGUCCCAUGUUUCUCAUGGGAGUAUCUUAUGAUCAGUUAUUUAUAGAGAGCUAUUCAUGGACACAGACUCUACGGAGAUCGUUUUCAGUCCUGAAAAUAUCGCUUUCAACUUAAUCGCUUCAACGUGUGAAGCUUUCUCUCUUUCAGAAGAGCAAGACCUUGCAGUCACAUGUUGCUGGAUCAGACAUAACCUGAAGAUUUAACAUCUGCAUCCAAUUAAAAAGCAGUGCUUCCCUACAAAAAGGUGAUCCUGGUUGUGCCGACUGGCUAUGUAUAAUUCUGCAUACGUACUUGAUGAUCAUUCCGAUGAUGAAAUCCCCACCCAGCAAGCUAUUCAAGAAAGCUUACAAGACAUUCAUAAAAUGGAAAGAAGUGCCAACGCAAUAGAGGAUGAAAGUUUCCUGUGCGUUGGAAGUAAAGAACGUGAAGAGAUAAUUGCAGCAAUUCGGACAGUUAAGUACAAAUGCAUUACACUACACCCCUCUGUAUCUAGCUAUCACAAUGCCUACGUUCUGUGUUUGAUCAGCUAUUUUAAGUGCAGUUUUUCCUUAUGUAGUCUUGGAGAGAGUUAGG
Molecule: long non-coding RNA, 653 nt
Filed under: Gallus gallus (chicken)
Lineage: Eukaryota; Metazoa; Chordata; Aves; Galliformes; Phasianidae
Description: lncRNA (ENSGALG00010028298.1)
Source: RNAcentral